CUGGAUAAGUAUAAAAAUUGUGUUUAAUGUACUUAUGAUAAGAACUUUCAUCGACUGCAGCACAAAACAAUAGGUUAUUUUUCACAAAUAAACAUAAAUUAGUAGAAGAAAAUAACCAGAACUCACUAUCAGAUAUCACUAGAAACAAACAACAAAGGUGAGUACAACAUUCUAAAUUUAAAAGUAUGCAAAAAUAUUCAAUAUAAAACAAACAGACAUAGGAGCGUAUCUCUCACAAACAAGAACGGACUGGUUGCACUGGUACCUGCCUGAGCAGUGCUUGGGACAGUCCGUAUGGAAACAAACAUGCUGCCGAGUGACGUUCCGGGUGAACGUUAAGUGCUUCAGGGUAUUUUUUGUACAGAAAAAUAAGAAAAUAAAUUAUUUCAUACUCUCACUUUUUUGUGCACAGAAACCCAAUGUAUAUAAAAGCAGAAAUCCGUCUGCCAUCCUACAUGGUAAACGCUGCUCAUUUGGAGUCUAGAUGGACAGACAGAUGGGAGAGAUUCUGCGAGGAUUGAAGGGCCUCUUUACCCUCCUCUGCCGUCCACCAGAGGGAGUGGCUGUGACUGUCCUUGCCCUGCCCUAGGGCUGGAUGCCAGGAACUGACAGUCCUGAGGAGUAAUGAGCAUUCCCUAGUCCUGCCACUGUCCCCUGGGCCUGUACUUAACUGCCUCAUUUGCCCUAAAAAUCAGAGUCUAAACCUGAAGCCCUUGCCGAAUGUCCCGCCUGGGCCUCCUGCCUUCCCACGCACACCCAUUCUCCAGCCCCACACACCAGGCCAGUCUGGGAGCCUCCGGUCAUCCUCAGGUGCUGCCCCUGCCUGUGACCGAGGCCUGCUGCUGCCACUGAUCCCUAAGCUAGGAACUCCCUGCCCGGCGAGGGUCUCAGGUGUCUCUGAGCACGCUGUGGACUGGCCAUGGCUCUUUGAAGAGGGACAUAAUCUAACCGUCUGGCUGACCCUGGUUUCUGAGACGGACGGGGCUGGACUAGCCCUUCUUCGCCCACCUGCUCCAGGACAAGCAGGGUCUAGCAGGUGGGACGGAAGAGGGCGGCGCUGGGCCCCUCAUCUCAGCCUGCGCCCCAGAGCAAGCUCUUUUCCCGACAGCUGAUGGACCGGGGACCCAGGCACCUGCUAAGCUGUCUCUCAAUAGAGAAACUGAGUCACAGCAAAGAGUCUAACAGCCACCAUCCACUGCACAGAGGUCGUGUCUUCCGCAGCCACCUUCUUUUUUUUAUUUUAAAGAGAAAAAUAUAAACAAUGAAACCGAAUUUCUUAAGUGUCAGACUGCUUACGCCUCUUUAAGAACAGGCCCUGGCAGGGUGUGGUGUACACCUGGAA
RNAcentral lists this long non-coding RNA (1342 nucleotides) under Chinchilla lanigera (long-tailed chinchilla). RNAcentral's name for it is "lncRNA (ENSCLAG00000028224.1)". Lineage: Eukaryota; Metazoa; Chordata; Mammalia; Rodentia; Chinchillidae. The record is from RNAcentral.